UACCGAUGAAGAAAACAAAAUAU
This 23-nucleotide non-coding RNA is filed under the name Arabidopsis thaliana (thale cress). The record is from RNAcentral. Lineage: Eukaryota; Viridiplantae; Streptophyta; Magnoliopsida; Brassicales; Brassicaceae.